This 253-nucleotide ribosomal RNA is filed under the name uncultured bacterium. RNAcentral's name for it is "partial 16S ribosomal RNA". It matches the Rfam family "Bacterial small subunit ribosomal RNA", at positions 524 to 776 of the family's 1533-position model. The record is from RNAcentral.
UACGGGGGGGGCAAGCGUUGUUCGGAAUUACUGGGCGUAAAGGGCGCGUAGGCGGUUCGCUAAGUCGGAUGUGAAAACUCUGGGCUCAACCCAGAGCCUGCAUCCGAAACUGGCGGGCUAGAGUUCUGGAGGGGGUAGCGGAAUUCCUGGUGUAGCGGUGAAAUGCGUAGAUAUCAGGAGGAACACCGGUGGCGAAGGCGGGUCUCUGGGCCGAUAUUGACGCUGAGGAGCGAAAGCGUGGGGAGCGAACAGG